GGAAUAUUGGUCAAUGGGCGAGAGCCUGCACCAGCCAUGCCGCGUGCAGGAAGACGGCCUUCUGGGUUGUAAACUGCUUUUAUCAAGGAAGAAACAGGCCCUGCGGGGCAAAUUGACUGUCUUUGGUGAAUACGCACCGGCUACCUACGUGCCAGCAGCCGCGGUAAUACGUAGGGUGCAAGCGUUGUCCGGAUUUAUUGGGUUUAAAGGGUGCGUAGGCGGCCCUAUAAGUCAGUGGUGAAAUCCUGCAGCUCAACUGUAGAUGUGCCAUUGAUACUGUAGGGCUUGUGUACAGACGAGGUAGGCGGAAUUUAUGGUGUAGCGGUGAAAUGCAUAGAUACCAUAAAGAACACCGAUAGAGAAGUCAGCUUACUAGGCUGUAACUGACGCUGAGGCACGAAAGCGUGGGGAUCGAAC
RNAcentral lists this ribosomal RNA (417 nucleotides) under uncultured bacterium. Its description in RNAcentral is "bacterial SSU rRNA". It matches the Rfam family "Bacterial small subunit ribosomal RNA", at positions 358 to 773 of the family's 1533-position model. The record is from RNAcentral.